Chiroxiphia lanceolata (lance-tailed manakin) is the source of this 2076-nucleotide RNA transcript. It is a transcript of the gene named tubulin delta 1, with no coding region annotated. The record is from RefSeq and is a predicted model, not a curated record. Lineage: Eukaryota; Metazoa; Chordata; Aves; Passeriformes; Pipridae. The transcript is spliced from 12 exons.
GAGAGAGCGCUGCGCAUGCGCCAGGCGGGCCGUUCGAAGGAGCGUCCGCGCACAGGCAACCCCCGGGCUCGCAGCGGCGCUGGAAUCACGCACCGCGAUCCAAAUUAGCACAAACCUGCCCGCAGAACGCGGCACUGGCACCGGCAGCCAUCCAGGGAAUGCUGGCUUGAAGAAGGAUGUCAAUAGUCACAGUCCAGCUUGGGCAGUGUGGGAACCAGAUUGGGCACGAGGUGUUUUGCUGCCUGUGCAGUGACAUCCGUGGCACUCACGGGCUCUGCUCCAAGAAGGAAAACCAAUCCUACCAGGAUGCCUGCAAGGAGAGGUUUUUCUGGGAGGAGGAAUCUGGAGUGCCUGUGGCCCGGGCUGUGCUGGUUGACAUGGAGCCCAAAGUCAUCAGCCAAACCUUAUCCAUGGCUGCCAGGUCUGGCUGCUGGAAGUACAACAACCAGUCCCACUUCUGCCAGAAGCAAGGCUCUGGGAACAACUGGGCCAACGGUUACUCUGUCCACGGGCCCAGACACAAGGAAUCAAUCAUGGAUCUGGUGCAGAGAGAAGCAGAGAGAUGUGACCGACUGGGAGGAUUUUUCACCAUCAUGAGCAUGGCUGGGGGCACAGGGUCAGGCCUGGGAGCAUUUGUGACCCAGUGCUUGAGAGAUGCUUUUCCAACCUCAUUUCUCCUAAACCACGUUAUCUGGCCCUAUGGCACUGGUGAGGUCAUUGUUCAAAACUACAACUCUGUUUUGACUCUGUCACAUCUGUACCGGUCCUCAGACGCCCUCCUUGUCCACGAGAACGAUGUCAUCCACAGGAUCUGUGCCCAGCUGCUGAACAUCAAACAGAUCUCCUUCAGGGACGUGAACCAAGUCAUUGCACAUCAGCUGGGCAGCGUUUUCCAGCCCGUUCACGCAGCAGAGGGGGGCUCAGACUACAGCAGGAACCCACUGGGAGAUUUGAUGGAGACACUGGUCCCACAUCCCGAGUUCAAGAUGUUGGGUCUCCGGAACAUUCCUCAGAUUCCUGAGAACUCCCUCCCCUACAGCACCUUCAGCUGGCCUGGGCUCAUCAAACAUCUGAGGCAGAUGCUCAUUGCUCAUGCCCAGAUGGAGGAAGGUAUUGACUGGCAAGUCCGACCACCUCCUCCAGGCUCCUCCACCCCCUCCAGCCAUUCCACAAAGAAGCCACUGCACUUCAACACUUCCAUUGCCAACCUGGUUAUCCUGAGAGGAAAAGAUGUGCACAGCGUGGACUUGGGAAGUUUCCAAGAUCCCUCCCUGUACACAUCAUGGCUAAAGCCUCAGGAUGCUUUUAAUGCCUGGAGAACACCAAGAGCAUUUAACAAGUAUGAAAAGUCUGCCUCUCUGGUCAGCAACAGCCAGUUCCUGCUGAAACCUCUCGACAGCAUUGUGGGAAAAGCUUGGAAUAUGUUUGCUUCCAAAGCUUAUAUUCACCAGUACACCAAAUUUGGAAUUGAAGAGGAAGAUUUCCUGGACAGCUUCACAACCCUGGAACAAGUUAUCUCCAGUUACACCACCCUUUGAUUUUAUUUCUUUUAAAUGGUCAGAAAUAGAGCUUUUCUGAAAGAACCCAGCACUGGAAAACCUCCCAUCAACUUCCUGAAGUAUGGAAAUGUCUGGGCUGGAGCUGGUUUUCAGUCUUGAAAGCAGUGUGUGUGUGUGUUAGGACAGCAAGAACUGACUCUGAGCUGAAUAUAUUCCUAUGGCCAGAAGAAACUGGAGGAAAGGUUGCAGAAGCUGAGACAAACAGCACAGGCACUGCAAGGAACAAAGGGUCAGGAAAGGAGACCCUGGUGAGCUUCUCCCUCCUGCAGGAGGCCCAGGAUGUUCAGCCACACAGACACCCCUGUCCCUGGUGUUCCCAACAGAUCCCAGACUGACCAGAAAUGGGGAACUGCAUGUCUGGAACAAGGGCCAAGUCCCAGCAAUGCCUCCUCCUGUCCCACAGAACAGCAGGAACAGGCAGCCGGGGGAGUUCAGAGGGAGCUGCUCGAGCAGAAACACAGCAGGACACCGGGACGGAGGGAAGGAGCUACAGACACAGGGAGCAGGAGCUGUCCUG